GGGCGCUGCAGCAGCUACAAAGACGACGCCGGCUGCGCUCGGGGGACCGGAGGGAGGGAGGCUGCGGACGAGUGCGGGGAGGAGUUUGAGGUGGGAGGUGCUUGCAGGGGCUCCCCCAGUUCUGCGCUGUGAGCCGGGGCACAAAGAGCCCUCUGCACUCGCGCCGCAGGACCGCAGACCCGAGCACGCCCCAUUUCCCCAGAGCCUGCCAUUCCUUCACUUCUGGGACUCAAAUCCCACAUGUCCGGCGUCCAAUUUGGCUCCCAAAGGAUGGAGAGGGCCGGUAAAUUACCGUCGCUGAAAACAACAGUGACAUCAGUUUAUGGAGAGGUUACUCUACGCCAGGGACCUGCUUGGUGCUUUGCAAACGUUAUCACAACAAUUCCACUAGGUGGUCCUUUCUCUGGCUGUGACCCAUGCUUCUUCCCCGGGCAGGAUGACACUCUCUGAAUUUCCUUAUUCAUCACGGCAGUGCCAUGUGGUGGAAGGAGACGCAGCUGAGAGUUAGGCAGUUGGAGGCAUCUGUCCACCCACAUGGUUCCAGAAACCUUCAUGUGGCCACCAUGACCCCACUGGCAUCAUGGGAGUAGCCAAGGUCCACAGAGCCAGGGGAAACAGUCACUGUGGACCAAGCAGGCUCCUCUGAGCAGACCAGGCUCUAUUUACAGAGAGCAGCAAGUUCCUGGGACAGAGGAGAGAGAAGGGAAUUUCCAGGCUCUUCAGGACGUUCACAACCACGCUGAGAAGCAUCCUUGCAGAUAAGUACUUAAGCUCACCAGCCCCUAGCCUACCAGCCUGCCGUCUUCUGCUCUGUGCAGGAAAGUGUGGUAUCCUAGAAUCCCACAGCGGCGGGGGGGAAAUGGGUGAGGUAGUUCAUUCACUUUUCUACCUCUAUGGAAGAAAGAAAGCGCUUGUCCCAUUUUAAGGGGUCCCAGAAAGGGUGACUUUCACACUCCCCUUUUGGCAUCAGGGCUAGUGUUUCAUAAACGUCACCGUCUGGAGCUUUUGGAUGGCUGAGUUAAAUGACUUCAUCUCGUGUGCCUGUAAAUCUGCUAUUAGAAGGAGCCUGGGGACUCCUGGGUGAUGUGAACGGGCUCUUCCCUUCUUAGUUUUGGCAUUUUGUUAUCCUAUUUAUAAGCCUUGGCUUGGGUUCCUUGGCCUUGCAGUUUGGUGGAGACUUUGCCCUGUGCCUUUAGGUGCAUUUUUCUCAGUGCCAGAGUCUGAGUUCGUCUCCUACUCUGGACCCGUGCCCCCACUCCUAGGUGCUGACAGCAAGCCCUGAAAAUACGCUGAGAAGGCUCCCUGACUCUCCUGACUCAGGUCUGCCACCGAUGAAGACAGCACAGCUGUUACCCAAGGCAAAACCUGGCAGGUGGCGCUGGGUCAGGAUUAGCGGUCAUUCUCUGGUCUUCUCCAGAUUGAUGACACAGGUUGGUCUUAAAGGAGUCCUACUCCAGCCUCUGGCUCCCCGAAUUUCCCCUGGCGCAUGGCACAUCAGGAAAGGGCAGGGGAGAAGGACGGGAGCAGAAAAAUAGCUGAGGCUGGGCAGAAGGGGCCCUUCCGUUUCCGUCCACUGCUUCAAACCAUGAGUUACUGUUGUGCACCUUGAAUGUCAAGGCAGGAAGGGUCCCAGGGCCACCCGGUGUGGCAGGAGCAGAGCUGGGAUCAGAAUUCUGGAUUCCCAACUCUCCAUUCAGCUGCAAUUCAGCUGCAGUUCACCAAGCUGCUCAGUUUUUCCUCCUUUCUCCCUGGUUGCAUUCUGCUGCUGUUGGGAAACAGGGCAUGAGUGAAGGGAAUCCCUCUCCCCUCUCCCCUCACUUUUUCCUUAAAAAUGUUGCGGGGUGGAGUAAAGGGAGGCGGAGGGCGGUGUGCCUGAGUCCAGCUUUCCUGGCUCCGGGGCCUUCUGUCUUCGGCAGGGAGCUCUGGCAAAGCCUGAGCCUGGGGAGAGGGCCUGGGUGCGGGUUUCUCCUGCCAUGUGGUUGGCUCUUUUGUCUUCCAGGAUGGGCUUGUGGGGUCUUUGUGGGGAAGGAAGGAGCUGGGAGCCUGGGCUGCCUGUGUGCUGGCUGCAUGCUGCCAGCCCCGGCAUGGACCAAGCACCUUCUCUGAGCCAGACGCUGGGGAUGCAGAGGUGAACCCAGAGACGUGGUCCCGUCUGCUCGGAUCUUCAUGUCAGAACACGCUUCAUUACGGUCUCAGCGCGGGGGUGGCUCCGUCUGGGCUGAAUCUCAGGGACUCCUGGCCUGGCCUUCUCUUUGGACCUCGGGUGACUCUGGACUCUGGCCACCGUGACUUAGCGGGCAGACUGUGAUGGUUUUCUAGCCCCCUCACCUGUUGGGAUGCAGCCUCCCAUGGACAGGAGCUCUUCCUGGCUGGUGCUUGACGACUGGAUCUGGCUCCAGGGGUAUGAGGGAGGCCUGGCAGCCCACCACUCCCUCCUCACCUGCUCGGGCCCUGCCGGCUGGGCCCUAUUGUCUGGGGCUGGGGGCCGUUUCCUGACCCCAUGUGAACUUGGUUCCUCCUUGAGUUUCUGCCGGUGACCAGACAGAGCCUGGCCUGGGCCAAGACCCCACUGACCACACUCUCCCCAGGGCUGGGUCUCAAAUGACCCUGCAGGAUGGGGACAGGAACAGGGAUGGGAGUCGGGGAGGGGCUGUCAGUGGGAGGGCAGAUGCAGCUC
Molecule: RNA transcript, 2677 nt
Organism: Cebus imitator (Panamanian white-faced capuchin)
Lineage: Eukaryota; Metazoa; Chordata; Mammalia; Primates; Cebidae
Exons: 7
Source: RefSeq, a predicted model, not a curated record